This 381-nucleotide ribosomal RNA is filed under the name uncultured bacterium. Its description in RNAcentral is "bacterial SSU rRNA". It matches the Rfam family "Archaeal small subunit ribosomal RNA", at positions 473 to 853 of the family's 1478-position model. The record is from RNAcentral. RNAcentral also lists the same sequence under 1 other name.
AUACCGGCAGCACGAGUGAUGACCGCUCUUAUUGGGCCUAAAGCGUCCGUAGCUGGCCACGCAAGUCUAUCGGGAAAUCCGCGCGCUCAACGCGCGGGCGUCCGGUGGAAACUGCGUGGCUUGGGACCGGAAGACCUGAGGGGUACGUCUGGGGUAGGAGUGAAAUCCCGUAAUCCUGGACGGACCACCGGUGGCGAAAGCGCCUCAGGAAGACGGAUCCGACGGUGAGGGACGAAAGCUCGGGUCACGAACCGGAUUAGAUACCCGGGUAGUCCGGGCUGUAAACGAUGUCUGCUAGGUGUGCCCCUGGCUACGAGCCAGUGGUGUGCCGUAGGGAAGCCGUGAAGCAGACCGCCUGGGAAGUACGUCCGCAAGGAUGAA